RNAcentral lists this ribosomal RNA (443 nucleotides) under uncultured bacterium. Its description in RNAcentral is "partial 16S ribosomal RNA". It matches the Rfam family "Bacterial small subunit ribosomal RNA", at positions 338 to 795 of the family's 1533-position model. The record is from RNAcentral.
CCUACGGGAGGCAGCAGUGGGGGAUAUUGGACAAUGGGGGGAACCCUGAUCCAGCGACGCCGCGUGAGUGAAGAAGUAUUUCGGUAUGUAAAGCUCUGUCAGCAGGGAAGAAAGAAAUGACGGUACCUGACCAAGAAGCCCCGGCUAACUACGUGCCAGCAGCCGCGGUAAUACGUAGGGGGCAAGCGUUAUCCGGAAUGACUGGGUGUAAAGGGAGCUUAGACGGUUAAGUAAGUCUGGAGUGAAAGGCCGGGGCUCAACCCCGGGACUGCUCUGGAAACUAUUUAACUUGAGUGCAGGAGAGGUAAGCGGAAUUCGUAGUGUAGCGGUGAAAUGCGUAGAUAUUAGGAGGAACACCAGUGGCGAAGGCAGCUUACUAAACUGCCACUGACAUUGAUGCUCGAAAGUGUGGGUAUCAAACAGGAUUAGAUACCCGAGUAGUC